RNAcentral lists this long non-coding RNA (374 nucleotides) under Coffea arabica (coffee). RNAcentral's name for it is "long non-coding RNA (CARA_LNC003355)". Lineage: Eukaryota; Viridiplantae; Streptophyta; Magnoliopsida; Gentianales; Rubiaceae. The record is from RNAcentral.
AUUGGAUGUCCCCACUUUUGCGUGAUUUCUUUUUCCCUUGCAUAUUUUGUCUCUUCAAACCAAAUUAACAAAAAAAAAAAGAGAAAAAAAUGAGAGGCAGGGUCUUGUUCGAGGAAUAGGGAUGAGCUAUUGUUUGCUGAGCAGAGUUCGCCACCACUAUUGUGGUGGCUAAAUUUCUUCAUCCGAAAAGCACGGUGAAGUUUCUUCAUUUUUUGGGUUAUCUGAUCUUGUUCUCCAAUUAAUUGGGUAUCCAUGAAACAAACAUAGAACACACUCUCAUCUCAGGAGCAACUUAAACAAUUGAAGAACUCAUUCUCAUUUCAGACAUUUCAUUCUCUAGAAUCAUUAACCAUGGAAAAUGAUGGAUAUUGUGA